RNAcentral lists this ribosomal RNA (491 nucleotides) under uncultured bacterium. RNAcentral's name for it is "partial 16S ribosomal RNA". It matches the Rfam family "Bacterial small subunit ribosomal RNA", at positions 29 to 507 of the family's 1533-position model. The record is from RNAcentral.
AGUGAACGCUGGCGGUAGGCCUAACACAUGCAAGUCGAACGGCAGCACAGUAAGAGCUUGCUCUUACGGGUGGCGAGUGGCGGACGGGUGAGGAAUACAUCGGAAUCUACUUUUUCGUGGGGGAUAACGUAGGGAAACUUACGCUAAUACCGCAUACGACCUACGGGUGAAAGCAGGGGAUCUUCGGACCUUGCGCGAUUGAAUGAGCCGAUGUCGGAUUAGCUAGUUGGCGGGGUAAAGGCCCACCAAGGCGACGAUCCGUAGCUGGUCUGAGAGGAUGAUCAGCCACACUGGAACUGAGACACGGUCCAGACUCCUACGGGAGGCAGCAGUGGGGAAUAUUGGACAAUGGGCCAAGCCUGAUCCAGCCAUACCGCGUGGGUGAAGAAGGCCUUCGGGUUGUAAAGCCCUUUUGUUGGGAAAGAAAAGCAGCAGGUUAAUACCCCGCUGUUCUGACGGUACCCAAAGAAUAAGCACCGGCUAACUUCGUG